AGAUGUGAGUAACCUGUCUCUGCCUCAUCCUCAGUUGUGACAACUGAAACUGUCUCUAGGCAUUGCCAGUGCCUCUGGAAGAAAUGCACUGCACUGAGCUACAAGCUUCCUGAGAAUAGGAGCCUUCUAUGUGUGUGCUCACGUUCCCAGUUGGGGAGACUUUGCUGAUGUUCGCUUUUUCCUCUCCAGCACCGAGCUUAUGCACAGGCGUUGAACUUGUACACUGAGUUAUUAAAUAACAGACUUAGUGCUGAUGUAUACACCUUUAAUGCAUUGAUUGAAGCAAAAACAUUCAUUCCCAAUGAGAAAUUUGAGGAAAAAUGGAAUGAUAUAUUGGAUCUACUAAGACAUAUGGUUGCACAGAAGGUAAAGCCAAACCUGCAGACGUUUAACACAACGCUGAAAUGUCUCCGCAAGUUUCAUUCACUUGGAAGGCUACCAGCCUUACAGAUACUACGUGAAAUGAAACAUAUUGGAAUAGAACCCUCACUUGCAACUUACCAUCAUAUCAUUCACCUCUUUUACCCACGAGGUAGCUCUAUAAAAAUACCAUCCCUUAUCAUCUAUGAUAUCAUGAAUGAAUUAGAGGGAAGAACAUUUUCUCCACAGGACCUGGAUGAUGAUAAAUUUUUCCAGUCGGCCAUGACUGUGUGUUCAUCUCUCAGAGAUUUAGAGCUUGCUUACCAAUUACAUGGUCUUUUAAACACGGGAGACAACCGGAAACUGAUUGGACCUGAUUCUCAGCGUAAAGCGUAUUAUUCGAAGUUUUUCAGUUUGAUUUGUUCACUGGAACAAAUUGAUGUCACCCUGAAGUGGUAUAAGGACCUGAUACCUUCAGUAUUUCUUCCCCACUCCCAAAUAUUCAUAGGUCUUCUUCAAGCAGUGGAUGUGGCCAAUAGGUUAGAAAUGGUUCCUCAGAUUUGGAAAGACAGUAAAGAAUAUGGCCAUACUUUUCGAGGUGCCCUAAGAGAAGAAGUGUUGAUGCUCAUGGCCAGGGAUAAACAUUCACCAGAGAUCCUCUCAGCUUCAGGUUGCAUUUGCUGACUGUGCUGCUGAUAUCAAAUCCACAUAUGAAAACCAGGAUGCCCGGCAGACAGCUCUUGAUUGGCCAGCCAACCCUUUACAUUAUAUAGCCUUCCUUUUUUUAAGAGGGGGCAGAACCCAGGAAGCCUGAAAUGAGUUGCUGGAGGAAUUUAUGGACACAGCAAAAGCAUCCAGUAGCACUACUCUGGCCAUUGAGGUUGUCAGGCUGGCAAGUGCCUUUAGCUUGCCUAUUAGUGAGAGCCUUGCCCAAAGAGUAAUGAUGGAUUUCACAGUUGACCCAGAGCAAAAAGAAGCCCUGAGUAACCUCACUGCACUGAACAGUAGUGAUGGAGAAAGCAGCAGUGACAGUGACAGUGACAUCAGUGAAAACAAAUGAAAGGAAGAAGUGGCUCACAAUAGCUGCUAGAAUGUUAGAAGUGGUAAAAUACACAGAUACAGGGCUGGCAUCUAAUAGAAGUUCCUUUGUAUUACACUGGCCUAAACACAAGACCCCUUGGAAAUGCAAGGGGGGGGGGGGUGUUCAUUUGCAGUACCGCAAGGUGCACAUCUGGCCAAUUUUUUGCCAAGACAGCAACAAGCACUGUGAAGUCUGACUUUUGGGGAACAAAUCCCACAUACUGCAGACCUUCCUCAUUCCUACUACACCCAUCAUUUUAGAACCCACAGGCCUUUGCUGCCUACCUUCUGUGUGCAGUUUAACUGACGAGAGACAAGAGUUUAAACUGGUUUUCAUGAAGAUGCCUACUUGCUGUUGAGUUGAUCAUAUCCCAGUUUGGGGAGUACUUAAAAAGAUGGAUGGUCUUAGGACUAAUUAAAUCAGAAGCAAGCUACUGGUUUUGGCUGCCCAAAUGGUAAAAUCAUUAAAUAAAGCAAUUGUGUUAUUCUUAAAAAUCUAA
RNAcentral lists this long non-coding RNA (1940 nucleotides) under Rattus norvegicus (Norway rat). RNAcentral's name for it is "long non-coding RNA NONRATT021485". The record is from RNAcentral. Lineage: Eukaryota; Metazoa; Chordata; Mammalia; Rodentia; Muridae.